RNAcentral lists this ribosomal RNA (380 nucleotides) under uncultured eukaryote. RNAcentral's name for it is "partial 18S ribosomal RNA". It matches the Rfam family "Eukaryotic small subunit ribosomal RNA", at positions 592 to 976 of the family's 1831-position model. The record is from RNAcentral.
CAAUAGCGUAUAUUAAAGUUGUUGCGGUUAAAAAGCUCGUAGUUGGAUUUCUGCCGAGGACGACCGGUCCGCCCUCUGGGUGUGUAUCUGGUUUGGCCUGGGCAUCUUCUUGGAGAACGUAGCUGCACUUGACUGUGUGGUGCGGUGUCCAGGACUUUUACUUUGAGGAAAUUAGAGUGUUUCAAGCAGGCACACGCCUUGAAUACAUUAGCAUGGAAUAAUAAGAUAGGACCUCGGUUCUAUUUUGUUGGUUUCUAGAGCUGAGGUAAUGAUUAAUAGGGAUAGUUGGGGGCAUUCGUAUUUAACUGUCAGAGGUGAAAUUCUUGGAUUUGUUAAAGACGAACUACUGCGAAAGCAUCUGCCAUGGAUGUUUUCAUUGA